This 229-nucleotide ribosomal RNA is filed under the name uncultured bacterium. RNAcentral's name for it is "partial 16S ribosomal RNA". It matches the Rfam family "Bacterial small subunit ribosomal RNA", at positions 568 to 796 of the family's 1533-position model. The record is from RNAcentral.
UACGUAGGCGGAAGAUUAAGUCAGUGGUGAAAUCCUGCAGCUUAACUGUAGAACUGUCAUUGAUACUGGUUUUCUUGAAUUUAGUUGAGGUAGGCGGAAUGUGUAAUGUAGCGGUGAAAUGCUUAGAUAUUACACAGAACACCGAUUGCGAAGGCAGCUUACUAAACUAUGAUUGACGCUGAGGUACGAAAGCGUGGGGAGCGAACAGGAUAAGAUACCCUGGUAGUCC